CGGAUGCGAUCAUACCAGCACUAAAGCACCGGAUCCCAUCAGAACUCCGAAGUUAAGCGUGCUUGGGCGAGAGUAGUACUAGGAUGGGUGACCUCCUGGGAAGUCCUCGUGUUGCAUCCCUC
RNAcentral lists this ribosomal RNA (122 nucleotides) under Oryza sativa Indica Group (long-grained rice). RNAcentral also lists the same sequence under 1 other name. The record is from RNAcentral. Lineage: Eukaryota; Viridiplantae; Streptophyta; Magnoliopsida; Poales; Poaceae.